UGUACACAGAAUCCCACCACUGAAUCUUAUUUUCGGUAAUGACAUUGGGAAAUUGUAACAAAAUGUCUAAAAAUUAAUUUAGAAAUGGGGUAAAUACUAUUAAAAAGCAAAUUUUAUUUUAGUCAUAAGAAAAUGUUGAAAUAUACCAAAAAUCUACUAAUAAAUAUUGCCUACUAGAAUUUUUUAAAAUAUAUCAAAAAUCUACCCAAAAAAGUAGAAAUCUACUAAAUGUGGCAACGCUGCACUAACAGCGCUGGUGAAAACCGUCAAAUCCCCUCUCCUCUACCCAUGGCGCGCCAUUUGAAUUUAUCAGAUAAAUGCACAAAACUGCCACUAACAGCGCUGGCGAAAGCUGUCAAAUCCCCUCUACCCAUCGGCUCAUGGCCAAUAGUCGGAUGUUUUUCUUUAAACAAGUUGAACAUUUUUGUAAUAUUCAAACUCUCUGGUGUUCAAUGUUGCCCUUAGUUACACCAUGUAUUGACAUGAAUGCUUUAAAACACACAUUAAUUUGUUGGGAAAACUCCAUUACGCUUAACUAACUUCAUUGGCCGUGUUCUAACACUUCAGUCUUUGGAGCUGUGGUUGUACAGAAGCAUCCUGAAGAUACCAUGCACAAAGUCACCAAUGAAGAAGUACUACGGCUACGGAGGAUGAACACAACCGCAGAUAUGGUCAACAUCGUGAAUAACAGUAAGCUGUAGUACUUGGGACAUAUAAUGAGAAAUCAAGGCAGAUACGAGCUACUCCAAUGCAGUUUACAACGUAAAAUUGAAGAAAAAAGGUCCCAGGACGAAGAAAAAUAUCCUGCCUUGCUAACCUGAGGGCAUGUUAUAGAAAGAUCUCAACACAACUAUUCCAUAGUGCAACAGUCAUCAAAUGAUCGUCAACGUUCGGACGGAACGGACAGGCACCCUAAGAAGAAGAAGAAGUUUCUAACAAACAUAAACAAAGGAAACUAAACGAUUAAACUCGAAAUAAAAACGUUAA
This is a long non-coding RNA of Diabrotica virgifera virgifera (western corn rootworm), 987 nucleotides long. RefSeq lists it as uncharacterized. NCBI's taxonomy places the organism in Eukaryota, Metazoa, Arthropoda, Insecta, Coleoptera, Chrysomelidae. The record is from RefSeq and is a predicted model, not a curated record. The transcript is spliced from 2 exons.